This 354-nucleotide long non-coding RNA is filed under the name Capsella rubella. RNAcentral's name for it is "long non-coding RNA (CRUB_LNC001369)". Lineage: Eukaryota; Viridiplantae; Streptophyta; Magnoliopsida; Brassicales; Brassicaceae. The record is from RNAcentral.
GUAUAACACAUGCAACACCACCCAUCCAUUGACUUCUCUCUCGGACGGGGACUCUUUCUUUCUACUUAGCCGCUCAGGUUCCUUCUUUUUCAUCAGUGGCAACUCUCAAAACUGUCUCAAAGGCCAGAAGCUAGCUGUCAAGGUCAUGUCCACCGCCCAUCACUCUCCUCGUCACACCUCUCCCUCCCCUUCUCCAUCACCUUCACUGGCUCCGGUCCAACAGGUUUUGUCGUCGCCGGGGCCUUCUCCAGGACCUGAACCAUCGUCUGAUUCAAACGAUCAUGCUCCGGCUCCAGGCCCUGUGUUGGCUCACAAUUCCGCCGGUUUGGUUGGUCCGGGGAUGGUGGUUUUUAU